CAGAGUUCAUGCCCUCACGGGUAGAUCUCCCACCCUUGAAAUCUAUACCUUUGUUGCUUUGGCAGGCCGCCUUCGGGCGUCGGCUUCGGCUGAUUAGCGCUUGCCAGAGGCCCAAAACUCAUGUUUAAAUUAUUGUCUGAGUACUAUAUAAUAGUUA
RNAcentral lists this unclassified non-coding RNA (157 nucleotides) under uncultured Helotiales. Its description in RNAcentral is "sequence contains ITS1". The record is from RNAcentral. Lineage: Eukaryota; Fungi; Ascomycota; Leotiomycetes; Helotiales.